GGUGGCUCAGUGGUAGAGCAUUUGCCUUGCAUGCAUGAGACCCUGGGUUCGAUUCCUCAGCACCA
Molecule: non-coding RNA, 65 nt
Organism: Dipodomys ordii (Ord's kangaroo rat)
Lineage: Eukaryota; Metazoa; Chordata; Mammalia; Rodentia; Heteromyidae
Source: Rfam